GAUGAAGAACGUAGCGAAAUGCGAUAAGUAGUGUGAAUUGCAGAAUUCAGUGAAUCAUCGAAUCUUUGAACGCACAUUGCGCCCCUUGGUAUCCCGAGGGGCAUGCCUGUUCGAGCAUCAUUUCACCACUCAAGCCUGGCUUGGUGUUGGGCGACGUCCCCUUUGGGGACGCGCCUCGAAACGCUCGGCGGCGUGGCACCGGCUUUAAGCGUAGCAGAAUCUUUCGCUUUGGAAGUCGGGGCCCCGUCUGCCGGAAGACCUACUCGCAAGGUUGACCUCGGAUCAGGCAGGGAUACCCGCUGAACUUAAGCAUAUCAAUAAGCGGAGGA
Molecule: unclassified non-coding RNA, 329 nt
Filed under: soil metagenome
Description: partial contains 5.8S ribosomal RNA, internal transcribed spacer 2, and large subunit ribosomal RNA
Rfam family: 5.8S ribosomal RNA (bases 1-120)
Source: RNAcentral